GAAAGUAAUGAAGGGCGUACGGUGGAUGCCUAGGCUCUUACAGGCGAUGAAGGACGUGAUAAGCUGCGAAAAGCCGCGGUGAGGCGCAAAUGGCCCUUGACCCGCGGAUCUCCGAAUGGGACAACCCAAUAUCUUGAAGAGAUAUUAUCCCGCCGAUGCGGGAGGCGAACGCGGGGAACUGAAACAUCUUAGUACCCGCAGGAAAAGAAAAUAAAGAAUGAUUCCCCCAGUAGUGGCGAGCGACCGGGGAACAGCCCAAACCGACGUUGUCUCGGCAUCGUCGGGGUUGUAGGACCGCGCCAUCGCAAGAAAGGCCGUGAGUGGAAGCGACUGGAAAGCCGCGCCAUAGAGGGUGAGAGCCCCUUACACGAAGCAGCCAGAAGCGUAGCGGACUCCUGAGUAGCGCGGGACACGAGUAAUCCUGUGUGAAUCCGCCGGGCCCAUCCGGCAAGGCUAAAUACUCGUAAGAGACCGAUAGUGAACCAGUACCGUGAGGGAAAGGUGAAAAGUACCCCUUGCAGGGGAGUGAAAUAGUUCCUGAAACCGUACGCCUACAAGCGGUCGGAGCAUCUUGAAUGAUGUGACGGCGUGCCUUUUGCAUAAUGAACCUACGAGUUGCCGUCACCAGCGAGGUUAAGUGCGAUGACGCACCGAGCCGCAGCGGAAGCGAGUCUUAAAAGGGCGCGAUAGUUGGUGGAGGCAGACGCGAAACCGAGUGAUCUACACUUGUCCAGGAUGAAGUCCCGGUAACACGGGAUGGAGGUCCGCACCAAUAAGCGUUGAAAAGCUUCUGGAUGAGGUGAGUGUAGGAGUGAAAGGCCAAUCAAACUCGGAGAUAGCUCGUACUCCCCGAAAGGCAUUUAGGUGCCGCCUGUGGCGUUCCCGACGUGAGGUAGAGCGACUGAUAGGAUGCGAGGGCUUCACCGCCUAUCAAGUCCUGACAAACUCCGAAUGCACGUCGGCCAAGCCAUGGAGUAAGGGCAUGGGUGCUAAGGUCCGUGCCCGAGAGGAGAAGAAUCCAGACCACCGGCUAAGGUCCCGAAAUACUGGUUAAGUUAGACUAACGCAGUCCGGCCCCCAAGACAGCUAGGAUGUUGGCUUGGAAGCAGCCAUUCAUUCAAAGAGUGCGUAACAGCUCACUAGUCGAGGAGCUGGGCGUGGAUAAUAAUCGGGUAUAAAACCAGUUACCGAAGCCGUGGGAUGCUUAAGCAUCGGUAGGGGAGCAUUGCAUGCGGCUUAGAAGGCGGGGCGCGAGCCCCUCUGGAGCGCAUGGAAACGCAAAUGUAGGUAUAAGUAACGACAAGGGGGGUGGGAUGCCCCCCCGCCGAAAGACCAAGGUUUCCUGAACAACGCUAAUCGGUUCAGGGUCAGUCGGGUCCUAAGCAUAAGCCGUAUGGCGAAGGCGAUGGACGAAACGGUUAAUAUUCCGUUACUGUCUUGGUGUGUGACGCGGCGACGGAGUAGUGACACGGCCGCCUCCUGACGGAAAAGGGGGUUGAAGCGCAAAGGUGUUGAGGAAGGCAGGCAAAUCCACCUUCCGAGCCGAAGCGCGAUAGUACGCCGCGCCCUUUUGGGCAAGGCGAUAGUGCCGGUAAUCAGACUUCCAAGAAAACCCGCUAAACUUCAGCACCAAGUCACCCGUACUCCAAACGGACACACGUGGUCGGGUAGAAUAUACUAAGGCGCUUGGGAGAUUCACGGUUAAGGAACUAGGCAAAUUGACCCCGUACCUUCGGAAUAAGGGGUCCUCGCUUUUGCGAGGCGCAGAGAAUAGGUCCAGGCAACUGUUUAACAAAAACACAGGGCUGUGCAAAUUUGAAAGAAGAAGUAUACAGCCUGACACCUGCCCGGUGCCGGAAGGUUAAGAGGAGAGCUCAUCAGCGAUGAGAAGGUUUGAAUUGAAGCCCCGGUAAACGGCGGCCGUAACUAUAACGGUCCUAAGGUAGCGAAAUUCCUUGUCGGGUAAGUUC
Molecule: ribosomal RNA, 1970 nt
Filed under: human gut metagenome
Description: bacterial LSU rRNA
Rfam family: Bacterial large subunit ribosomal RNA
Source: RNAcentral